CAAGUCGUACGGGCCGCAAGGCCAGUGGCGCAAGGGUGAGUAAGGCGACGGCAACCAACCCCAUGGUUGGGUAUAGCCGCGGGAAACCGCGGGUAAUCCCCAGCGACGCACGAGGCCGGCAUCGGUCUCCUGCCAAAGCUCAGGCGCCGUGGGACGGGCCGUCGUGGUAUUAGGUAGUUGGCGGGGUAACGGCCCACCAAGCCGACGAUGCCUACCGGGCGUGCGAGCGUGGCCCGGCACACUGGGACUGAGACACUGCCCAGACUCCUACGGGAGGCUGCAGUCGAGAAUCUUCGGCAAUGGGCGCAAGCCUGACCGAGCGACGCCGCGUGGAGGACGAAGGCCUUCGGGUUGUAAACUCCUGUCGAGGGGGAAGAAGGGUCGAAAGACCUUGACUGAUCCCUGGAGGAAGCACGGGCUAAGUUCGUGCCAGCAGCCGCGGUAAGACGAACCGUGCGAACGUUAUUCGGAAUCACUGGGCUUAAAGCGCGUGUAGGCGGGAGGGCACGUCCGUCGCUGAAAUCCCCCGGCUCAACCGGGGAACGGGCGCGGAUACGACCUUCCUUGAGGGGCGUAGGGGGACCUGGAACUUCCGGUGGAGCGGUGAAAUGCGUUGAGAUCGGAAGGAACGCCCGUGGCGAAAGCGAGGUCCUGGACGCCUACUGACGCUGAGACGCGAAAGCCAGGGGAGCGAACGGGAUUAGAUACCCCGGUAGUCCUGGCCGUAAACGAUGGGCACUGGGGUAGGGGGCUCGCCGAUGGGCUCCCUGCCGAAGGGAAACCGUGAAGUGCCCCGCCCGGGGA
This 804-nucleotide ribosomal RNA is filed under the name uncultured Planctomycetia bacterium. RNAcentral describes it as "bacterial SSU rRNA". It matches the Rfam family "Bacterial small subunit ribosomal RNA", at positions 58 to 879 of the family's 1533-position model. The record is from RNAcentral. Lineage: Bacteria; Pseudomonadati; Planctomycetota; Planctomycetia.